ACCGAAGCUGUGGAUUGUCCUUUGGACAAUGGUAGGAGAGCGUUCUAAGGGCGUUGAAGCAUGAUCGUAAGGACAUGUGGAGCGCUUAGAAGUGAGAAUGCCGGUGUGAGUAGCGAAAGACGGGUGAGAAUCCCGUCCACCGAUUGACUAAGGUUUCCAGAGGAAGGCUCGUCCGCUCUGGGUUAGUCGGGUCCUAAGCUGAGGCCGACAGGCGUAGGCGAUGGAUAACAGGUUGAUAUUCCUGUACCACCUAUAAUCGUUUUAAUCGAUGGGGGGACGCAGUAGGAUAGGCGAAGCGUGCGAUUGGAUUGCACGUCUAAGCAGUAAGGCUGAGUAUUAGGCAAAUCCGGUACUCGUUAAGGCUGAGCUGUGAUGGGGAGAAGACAUUGUGUCUUCGAGUCGUUGAUUUCACACUGCCGAGAAAAGCCUCUAGAUAGAAAAUAGGUGCCCGUACCGCAAACCGACACAGGUAGUCAAGAUGAGAAUUCUAAGGUGAGCGAGCGAACUCUCGUUAAGGAACUCGGCAAAAUGACCCCGUAACUUCGGGAGAAGGGGUGCUCUUUAGGGUUAACGCCCAGAAGAGCCGCAGUGAAUAGGCCCAAGCGACUGUUUAUCAAAAACACAGGUCUCUGCUAAACCGUAAGGUGAUGUAUAGGGGCUGACGCCUGCCCGGUGCUGGAAGGUUAAGAGGAGUGGUUAGCUUCUGCGAAGCUACGAAUCGAAGCCCCAGUAAACGGCGGCCGUAACUAUAACGGUCCUAAGGUAGCGAAAUUCCUUGUCGGGUAAGUUCCGACCCGCACGAAAGGCGUAACGAUUUGGGCACUGUCUCAACGAGAGACUCGGUGAAAUCAUAGUACCUGUGAAGAUGCAGGUUACCCGCGACAGGACGGAAAGACCCCGUGGAGCUUUACUGUAGCCUGAUAUUGAAAUUCGGCACAGCUUGUACAGGAUAGGUAGGAGCCUUUGAAACGUGAGCGCUAGCUUACGUGGAGGCGCUGGUGGGAUACUACCCUAGCUGUGUUGGCUUUCUAACCCGCACCACUUAUCGUGGUGGGAGACAGUGUCAGGCGGGCAGUUUGACUGGGGCGGUCGCCUCCUAAAAGGUAACGGAGGCGCUCAAAGGUUCCCUCAGAAUGGUUGGAAAUCAUUCAUAGAGUGUAAAGGCAUAAGGGAGCUUGACUGCGAGACCUACAAGUCGAGCAGGGUCGAAAGACGGACUUAGUGAUCCGGUGGUUCCGCAUGGAAGGGCCAUCGCUCAACGGAUAAAAGCUACCCCGGGGAUAACAGGCUUAUCUCCCCCAAGAGUUCACAUCGACGGGGAGGUUUGGCACCUCGAUGUCGGCUCAUCGCAUCCUGGGGCUGUAGUCGGUCCCAAGGGUUGGGCUGUUCGCCCAUUAAAGCGGUACGCGAGCUGGGUUCAGAACGUCGUGAGACAGUUCGGUCCCUAUCCGUCGUGGGCGUAGGAAAUUUGAGAGGAGCUGUCCUUAGUACGAGAGGACCGGGAUGGACAUACCUCUGGUGUACCAGUUGUCGUGCCAACGGCAUAGCUGGGUAGCUAUGUGUGGACGGGAUAAGUGCUGAAAGCAUCUAAGCAUGAAGCCCCCCUCAAGAUGAGAUUUCCCAACUUCGGUUAUAAGAUCCCUCAAAGAUGAU
This 1653-nucleotide ribosomal RNA is filed under the name Staphylococcus aureus. RNAcentral's name for it is "partial 23S ribosomal RNA". It matches the Rfam family "Bacterial large subunit ribosomal RNA", at positions 1193 to 2848 of the family's 2925-position model. Lineage: Bacteria; Bacillati; Bacillota; Bacilli; Caryophanales; Staphylococcaceae. The record is from RNAcentral.